UCGCCCGUGUGCGUGCGGUAGUGCCGAGCCAGCUCGUCGGAGCGCGCGAACUUCUUGUUGCAGUCCUGCCAGCUGCAGGCGAAGGGGCGCUCCCCUGUGGGCGACAUGGCAGAAGGAGGGACCCAACUAGAGUCUGCUGCUCCUCCUCUCCCAGAAGUUCCAACGUGGCCAACAGGCAUCAGAGGAGGAGACUUCUGGUUGACACCCAGGAGAGGGAGCCCGUUCCAGGCAGCCAAUAAGCCAGUCCAUGGACAGACGGCUAAACCAUUCAUAAGUUAUGAUUCAUGCUGGUGAGGAGCAGCAGGGGGUCUGCUCAGCUGGCCUCUGAGUGGUGACAUUCAAGCGGCACCCAGGAGACUGACCAGGAGCAGCUGGAGAACUGUGAACAGGUGGGGCAAAAGCAGCCGGGACAGGGGCCUGGAGAACAGAGCUCUCCACCGCAGCACUGCUCACUCUUUAAGUGAGGAACCCAAGGAGCUUUUGUUCACCUGGGUUAUGUCCACUGACAUUUACUGUAGAAAUUAAAACAAAAACAUUUAAACUCAA
This is a long non-coding RNA of Hippopotamus amphibius kiboko, 546 nucleotides long. RefSeq lists it as uncharacterized. The transcript has 3 exons. Lineage: Eukaryota; Metazoa; Chordata; Mammalia; Artiodactyla; Hippopotamidae. The record is from RefSeq and is a predicted model, not a curated record.